UCUGAGCAUGUGUACACAAAACCAUCAGCAAGUAAUGGCCAUACAGUGGCUUGGAACAUGACUCAGACAGCAUAGGCGGAGAUGGGAUGUAAGGCCAUUGAGAGCUGGCGUGAAGUGUGUUAAGUAUGAUGGGUGCAGUGACAGAUGGUUUGACCUUAUCUGCCGCAGUUGUGGGAUCUUGACUGUGAAAGACGUUGGACCUCCUCUCCUCUCUGCUCCCGACACUCAGCUGGCAUUUCAAUGGGGCCUCCAGCACCGGAGACAACGCGCCAACAACACCCAGACAACCAGUCGUCCUGCAGGACUGGCCGCAUCACUGCUUCCCAAAAAAAGUGGCUUUUGAACAUGUGAAUGAGAACAGGAUAUUAUAUACAGCAUAUAUAUAUAUCAUCAAAUGUAGCAGACAAGAGAAACAUGGGCUACAAGUAAGACUGGGACAGGAGGUGGGAGAAUGAUGAGGGGAACAAAAACACCAAACAACAAAAAAGGAUGACUGCAUAUAAAUGCAGGUAUAGAGUGUUAUUGAUCCACAAAGGAGAAAGCAACGAGGAGAAUGACUGAAACUCUCCUCUACACAUAACUUGGGCAAUGGGACUAUUGCCUGCAUCCAUAGAAUUAUUUACUAUUCAAACAAAUUCCUUCUAACUUUUUCAUGAUAUCAACGAGUUUACUCCCAGCUCUAAACAAUAAACUGGUUA
Molecule: long non-coding RNA, 698 nt
Organism: Dicentrarchus labrax (European seabass)
Lineage: Eukaryota; Metazoa; Chordata; Actinopteri; Moronidae
Exons: 4
Source: RefSeq, a predicted model, not a curated record